Ostrea edulis (European flat oyster) is the source of this 216-nucleotide long non-coding RNA. RefSeq lists it as uncharacterized. The transcript is spliced from 2 exons. The record is from RefSeq and is a predicted model, not a curated record. Lineage: Eukaryota; Metazoa; Mollusca; Bivalvia; Ostreida; Ostreidae.
AAAUAACAUUUUUUGUGGAAGAAAUAGGAAGCUGCAUAUUAACAAACUAUACAGAGACUACUCUAUAAUGCUUCAAGCGAGAUUCUGAAGAACAAAGUGAUGGCAAUGUAGAACUGUACAGUCUGGUAAAACCUAAAGAAGAACCAGUCUCUCCUGCCACGGCAUAGAACAAAUUAACUGCGAUGCAACAAAUAAACUAUUUCGUUCUGAACUUCA